GCAUCAGUAGCUCAGCGUCAGAGCACCGGUCUUGUAAGCCGGGCGUCGGAGGUUAAAAUCCUCCCUUUUGCU
This 72-nucleotide transfer RNA is filed under the name Rastrelliger kanagurta (Indian mackerel). RNAcentral's name for it is "tRNA-Thr". It matches the Rfam family "tRNA". Rfam says of the family: Transfer RNA (tRNA) molecules are approximately 80 nucleotides in length. Their secondary structure includes four short double-helical elements and three loops (D, anti-codon, and T loops). Further hydrogen bonds mediate the characteristic L-shaped molecular structure. tRNAs have two regions of fundamental functional importance: the anti-codon, which is responsible for specific mRNA codon recognition, and the 3' end, to which the tRNAs corresponding amino acid is attached (by aminoacyl-tRNA synthetases). tRNAs cope with the degeneracy of the genetic code in two manners: having more than one tRNA (with a specific anti-codon) for a particular amino acid; and 'wobble' base-pairing, i.e. permitting non-standard base-pairing at the 3rd anti-codon position. RNAcentral also lists the same sequence under 2 other names. The record is from RNAcentral. Lineage: Eukaryota; Metazoa; Chordata; Actinopteri; Scombriformes; Scombridae.